AUUGAACGCUGGCGGCAGGCCUAACACAUGCAAGUCGAGCGGAUGAAGGGAGCUUGCUCCUGGAUUCAGCGGCGGACGGGUGAGUAAUGCCUAGGAAUCUGCCUGGUAGUGGGGGAUAACGUCCGGAAACGGGCGCUAAUACCGCAUACGUCCUGAGGGAGAAAGUGGGGGAUCUUCGGACCUCACGCUACCAGAUGAGCCUAGGUCGGAUUAGCUAGUUGGUGGGGUAAAGGCCUACCAAGGCGACGAUCCGUAACUGGUCUGAGAGGAUGAUCAGUCACACUGGAACUGAGACACGGUCCAGACUCCUAAGGGAGGCAGCAGUGGGGAAUAUUGGACAAUGGGCGAAAGCCUGAUCCAGCCAUGCCGCGUGUGUGAAGAAGGUCUUCGGAUUGUAAAGCACUUUAAGUUGGGAGGAAGGGCAGUAAGUUAAUACCUUGCUGUUUUGACGUUACCAACAGAAUAAGCACCGGCUAACUUCGUG
RNAcentral lists this ribosomal RNA (484 nucleotides) under uncultured bacterium. RNAcentral describes it as "partial 16S ribosomal RNA". It matches the Rfam family "Bacterial small subunit ribosomal RNA", at positions 30 to 507 of the family's 1533-position model. The record is from RNAcentral.